AAUCAACGCUGGCGGCGUGCCUCAGACAUGCAAGUCGAACGAUUAAGACUCUCUUCGGAGAGUGCAUAAAGUGGCGCACGGGUGAGUAACACGUAAGUAAUCUACCUUUGGGUGGGGAAUAACAGUCGGAAACGACUGCUAAUACCGCAUAAUGCAGCGGCUCCUUAUGGAGACAGUUGUUAAAGAUUUAUCGCCUAAAGAGGAGCUUGCGGCAGAUUAGCAGUUGGUAAGGUAACGGCUUACCAAGGCGACGAUCUGUAUCCGACCUGAGAGGGUGGUCGGACACACUGACACUGAAUAACGGGUCAGACUCCUACGGGAGGCAGCAGUCGGGAAUUUGGGCAAUGGGCGAAAGCCUGACCCAGCAACGCCGCGUGAAGGAUGAAGUCUUUCGGGA
Molecule: ribosomal RNA, 397 nt
Filed under: uncultured bacterium
Lineage: Bacteria
Description: bacterial SSU rRNA
Rfam family: Bacterial small subunit ribosomal RNA
Source: RNAcentral